This 306-nucleotide long non-coding RNA is filed under the name Gallus gallus (chicken). The record is from RNAcentral. Lineage: Eukaryota; Metazoa; Chordata; Aves; Galliformes; Phasianidae.
AAAAAAAAAAAAAAGAAAUAGCCGCUUCUACGAGCCCUGCCAGCCCAGCCCCGUGGCAGCGGCCGCGUCCCUCCCGCGCAUCCCCGACCCCGCACGGGGCGGCCGCGGGGCACAGCGGGCACAGCCGGCGGCGGAGAGCGGAGCGGGGCGGAAUCGAAAAUGGAACGAGUCGGCGGAGAAGCGCUUCCAUCCUCCACCUCCUGCCCCCUAGCGCAGCUUCGCUAUCAAAAACAGCGACCCACCUGCGCUUCCCUCCCCGCCCGGCCCUCGGGUGCCAUGGAAACCCCUGGAUCGCCUCCAUCUCCC